GACGUCGAAUGCUACGUUUGCAACGAAACCUGUCACUGUCCAAAACUGAAGUACGAUCCAGGACAGAAAAAUAUCAAAAACACAUUCGUUAUUGUGUCUGGAUUAGUGACUGGAAACAUUUAUCAAUUCAAGAUCUCUCCUCGAGAUAUCCUAAGCUCGGUCAUUCCAAAACAAUUCAAUAAAUUCAUCCUAAGUGAAAUUUACACCGCAAAAAACAAUAAUGAUGAACCAAUGCCCCAAUCAAGCAGCAAUUCAAACAAAUACAUGAUAAUAAUUGUCAGUGUUGGUUGUUUGUUUCUCAUCCUGAUUGUUGUCAUUUUCUUCAUUUUUAUU
Xenia sp. Carnegie-2017 is the source of this 333-nucleotide long non-coding RNA. RefSeq lists it as uncharacterized. NCBI's taxonomy places the organism in Eukaryota, Metazoa, Cnidaria, Anthozoa, Malacalcyonacea, Xeniidae. The transcript has 2 exons. The record is from RefSeq and is a predicted model, not a curated record.